GGAAGGAUCAUUACCGAACUGUCAAACGUGGGUUGUUGCUGGCCCUCGAAUGGGGGCAUGUGCACGCUCUGUUUACACAUCCACUUCACACCUGUGCACCCUCUGUAGUUCUAUGGUCCGGGGGGUCCCACCCUCCUCCCGUAGCUCUACUUUUUUACAUACGCUCUGUAACGAUGUCUUGUGGAAUGCUUUAUGCGUUUAACGCGAUACAAUACAACUUUCAGCAACGGAUCUCUUGGCUCUCGCAUCGAUGAAGAACGCAGCGAAAUGCGAUAAGUAAUGUGAAUUGCAGAAUUCAGUGAAUCAUCGAAUCUUUGAACGCACCUUGCGCCCCUCGGCUAUUCCUUGGGGCAUGCCUGUUUGAGUAUCAUGAACACCUCAACUCUCAUGGCUUGCCGUGAAGAGCUUGGACUCUGGGGGUCUGCUGGCUGUUUGGUCGGCUCCCCUCAAAUGAAUCAGCUUUCCGGUGUUUGGUGGCAUCACGGGUGUGAUAACUAUCUACGCUUGCGGUGGUCUGCCAGGUAACCUUCAUCGCUGGGGGUUCGCUGGAGCUUACAAAUGUCUCUCCUCGGCGAAGACAGCUUUUGAACGUUCGAUCUCAAAUCAGGUAGGACUACCCGCUGAACUUAAGCAUAUCAAUAAGCGGAGGAAAAGAAACUAACAAGGAUUCCCCUAGUAACUGCGAGUGAAGCGGGAAGAGCUCAAAUUUAAAAUCUGGCCGCCUUUGGUUGCCCGAGUUGUAGUCUGGAGAAGCGUCUUCCGUGUUGGACCGUGUAUAAGUCUCUUGGAACAGGGCGUCAUAGAGGGUGAGAAUCCCGUCUUUGACACGGACUACCAAUGCUUUGUGAUGCGCUCUCAAAGAGUCGAGUUGUUUGGGAAUGCAGCUCAAAAUGGGUGGUAAAUUCCAUCUAAAGCUAAAUAUAGGCGAGAGACCGAUAGCGAACAAGUACCGUGAGGGAAAGAUGAAAAGCACUUUGGAAAGAGAGUUAAACAGUACGUGAAAUUGCUGAAAGGGAAACGCUUGAAGUCAGUCGUGUCUGCCAGGACUCAGCCUUGCUUCUGCAUGGUGCACUUUCUGGUUGGAUGGGCCAACAUCAAUUUUGACCGUUGGAGAAAGGCAUUGGGAAUGUGGCACCUUCGGGUGUGUUAUAGCCCAUUGUCGUAUACGGCGGUUGGGAUUGAGGACUGCAGCACGCCUUUAUGGCCGGGGUU
RNAcentral lists this ribosomal RNA (1212 nucleotides) under uncultured fungus. RNAcentral's name for it is "eukaryotic LSU rRNA". The stretch from base 594 to 1212 matches the Rfam family "Eukaryotic large subunit ribosomal RNA", at positions 1 to 627 of the family's 3401-position model. The record is from RNAcentral. Lineage: Eukaryota; Fungi.